Molecule: long non-coding RNA, 285 nt
Filed under: Salmo salar (Atlantic salmon)
Lineage: Eukaryota; Metazoa; Chordata; Actinopteri; Salmoniformes; Salmonidae
Description: lncRNA (ENSSSAG00000121429.1)
Source: RNAcentral
CUCUCCUCUUCUCUCUUUAGAAGGUAUCUCUCUCCUCUCCUCUUCUCUCUUUAGAAGGUAUCUCUCUCCUCUCCUCUAAUUAGAAGGUAUCUCUCUCCUCUUCUCUCUUUAGAAGGUAUCUCUCUCCUCUCCUCUUCUCUCUUUAAAAGGUAUCUCUCUCCUCUCCUCUUCUCUCUUUAUAAGGUAUCUCUCUCCUCUCUUCUCUUUAGAAGGUAUCUCUCUCCUCUUCUCUCUUUAGAAGGUAUCUCUCUCCUCUCCUCUCUUUAGAAGGUAUCUCUCUCCUCU